AGUUGAUUGUCAACAGCCUGCCGAAAAACCAAUUUCUAGUCAAAACCUGACUACAUUGAUUCACUACUGGUCCGGCUGGACCUUUCCUUCUGGGGAACCUCAUGGCCUUCACUGGCUGUGGGGAGAACCAGGGCUUUUACUAUGAAAAAACUAGAGUGUUCAAAGGAGCCCUUUGCUCGAAUACAUUAGCAUGGAAUAAUAGAAUAGGACGUGCGGUUCUAUUUUCUUGGCUUCUAGGACCGCCAUAAUGAUUAAUAGGGAUAGUCGGAGGCGUCAGUAUUCAGCUGUCAGAGGUGAAAUUCUUGGAUUUGCUAAAGACUAACUACUGCGAAAGCAUCCGCCAAGGAUGUUUUCAUUAAUCAG
RNAcentral lists this non-coding RNA (363 nucleotides) under Penicillium arizonense. RNAcentral describes it as "Eukaryotic small subunit ribosomal RNA". It matches the Rfam family "Eukaryotic small subunit ribosomal RNA", at positions 632 to 980 of the family's 1831-position model. The record is from Rfam by way of RNAcentral. Lineage: Eukaryota; Fungi; Ascomycota; Eurotiomycetes; Eurotiales; Aspergillaceae.